UUCUACCCAGGCCUGGCUUCAGUGCUGA
This 28-nucleotide non-coding RNA is filed under the name Mus musculus (house mouse). The record is from RNAcentral. Lineage: Eukaryota; Metazoa; Chordata; Mammalia; Rodentia; Muridae.